GUCCUGCGCGGGGCGGGGAUGUGAAUCCCGAUGGAGCGGCCCGAGGAAGGCAAGCAGUCGCCGCCGCCGCAGCCCUGGGGACGGCUCCUGCGUCUGGGCGCGGAGGAGGGCGAGCCGUACGUCCUCCUGAGGAAGCGAGAGUGGACCAUCGGGCGGAGACGAGGUUGCGACCUUUCGUUCCCCAGCAAUAAACUGGUCUCUGGAGAUCACUGUAGAAUUGCAGUGGAUGAAAAAUCAGGUCAGGUGACACUGGAAGAUACCAGCACCAGUGGAACAGUGAUUAACAAGCUGAAGGUUGUUAAGAAGCAGACGUGCCCUUUACAGACUGGGGAUGUCAUCUACUUGGUGUACAGGAAGAAUGAACCGGAACACAGUAAGAGAGAGGAAGGCUUGCCGGGGUCAGACCCGCACGGGGGUGCACGUGAGGGCGCACUCUGAACGUUCCUCCUGGCUACAUCCCUUCCUGUAGGAACGUUCCUCCUGGCUACACCCCAUUUCUUGCUCACAUGGGUUCCUGCUGUGAAUAGUGUCUGUUGAGGAGUGGGAGUGUCGACUUUGCAGCCUGAGCCCAGCCAUUCCUCAGGAAUACCACCGUGGCCAUGAGCAGCCAAUCCCAAAAUGGCAGCCAAGGAGAAACUGAUGGGGAUGGUUUGGGUUCUACAGGAGAAGAACUUGAGUUAUGGGGAAUAAAACCUAGGACCAGGGGUCUAGAGGCCAUUGAUGGUUCUGCUUUUGGAGACCUUAUAAGAAACAUCA
RNAcentral lists this small RNA (756 nucleotides) under Pongo abelii (Sumatran orangutan). RNAcentral's name for it is "retained intron". Lineage: Eukaryota; Metazoa; Chordata; Mammalia; Primates; Hominidae. The record is from RNAcentral.